RNAcentral lists this ribosomal RNA (325 nucleotides) under uncultured Aliivibrio sp. RNAcentral describes it as "bacterial SSU rRNA". It matches the Rfam family "Bacterial small subunit ribosomal RNA", at positions 30 to 334 of the family's 1533-position model. Lineage: Bacteria; Pseudomonadati; Pseudomonadota; Gammaproteobacteria; Vibrionales; Vibrionaceae. The record is from RNAcentral.
AUUGAACGCUGGCGGCAGGCCUAACACAUGCAAGUCGAGCGGUAACAGAAAGUAGCUUGCUACUUUGCUGACGAGCGGCGGACGGGUGAGUAAUGCCUGGGAAUAUGCCUUGAUGUGGGGGAUAACUAUUGGAAACGAUAGCUAAUACCGCAUAAUGUUUUUGUUCAUUACGAACAGGAACCAAAGAGGGGGAUCUUCGGACCUCUCGCGUCAAGAUUAGCCCAGGUGAGAUUAGCUAGUUGGUGGGGUAAGAGCUCACCAAGGCGACGAUCUCUAGCUGGUCUGAGAGGAUGAUCAGCCACACUGGAACUGAGACACGGUCCAG